Molecule: ribosomal RNA, 440 nt
Filed under: uncultured bacterium
Lineage: Bacteria
Description: partial 16S ribosomal RNA
Rfam family: Bacterial small subunit ribosomal RNA
Source: RNAcentral
CCUACGGGUGGCAGCAGUGGGGAAUAUUGCACAAUGGGGGAAACCCUGAUGCAGCGACGCCGCGUGAGCGAUGAAGUAUCUCGGUAUGUAAAGCUCUAUCAGUAGGGAAGAAAAUGACGGUACCUGACUAAGAAGCCCCGGCUAAUUACGUGCCAGCAGCCGCGGUAAUACGGAGGGGGCAAGCGUUAUCCGGAUGUACUGGGUGUAAAGGGAGCGUAGACGGCGGUGCAAGCCAGAUGUGAAAGCCUGGGGCUCAACCCCGGGACUGCAUUUGAAACUGUGCUGCUAGAGUGUCGGAGAGGCAGGCGGAAUUCCUAGUGUAGCGGUGAAAUGCGUAGAUAUUAGGAGGAACACCAGUGGCGAAGGCGGCCUGCUGGACGGUGACUGACGUUGAGGCUCGAAAGCGUGGGGAGCAAACAGGAUUAGAUACCCGAGUAGUC